GAUGAACGCUAGCGGCAGGCCUAAUACAUGCAAGUCGAACGAUACCAGAGAGCUUGCUUUCUGGGAAAGUGGCGCACGGGUGCGUAACGCGUAUGCAACCUACCUUAAUCAGGGGGAUAGCCUCUCGAAAGAGAGAUUAACACCGCAUAAAAUCACACUUCGGCAUCGAAGAAUGAUCAAAUAUUUAUAGGAUUAAGAUGGGCAUGCGUGACAUUAGCUAGUUGGUAAGGUAACGGCUUACCAAGGCUACGAUGUCUAGGGGAUCUGAGAGGAUGACCCCCCACACUGGUACUGAGACACGGACCAGACUCCUACGGGAGGCGGCAGUAAGGAAUAUUGGUCAAUGGGGGCAACCCUGAACCAGCCAUGCCGCGUGCAGGAAGACGGCCCUACGGGUUGUAAACUGCUUUUAUACGGGAAUAAAUCUCGCUACGUGUAGUGAGUUGAAUGUACUGUAAGAAUAAGGAUCGGCUAACUCCGUGCCAGCAGCCGAC
RNAcentral lists this ribosomal RNA (494 nucleotides) under uncultured bacterium. RNAcentral's name for it is "bacterial SSU rRNA". It matches the Rfam family "Bacterial small subunit ribosomal RNA", at positions 28 to 518 of the family's 1533-position model. The record is from RNAcentral.